GCCGUCAAGUGGGAGAGAGACCGUGCUGCUGAUGGGCGAUUUUCAUAGGAAGCAGCUGCCGUAUUCCUUGUCUAGGGUUACGAUUUCAUGCCUCUUUGCUGUUCCUCAUCAUACUUCUCCAUGGCGCCGUCGCCGCCGACUCCACUAAGGUCCCUGAUCGCGGCUCGCCGUCUUCCAAUCUUUAUCGAUCUCCUCCAUACUCGAAUCAUGCUGAACUUGUUCCUCUAAUUUGUACGCCGACAAGUGGAAGAAGGUACCGCGCUGCUGAUGGGCGACGAAUCCUGCGCCUAUUUCGAUAGGUGUCGAGAUCGCCUGGCGAUCGGAGGUUGUUGACGGCGCUUUUUGAGGCGGUGAAUCGAGGCAAGCCGGAGAGAUGAUCUUCGAAGUGUCGAAGAUGUCGCCGUCUCCGGCGAUCUUAGUAAUUAAUUAAUUAAGAAAUAAUUUUUAAUUUUUUUGGUCUCAAAUUAAAUUUUUAAUUAAUAUUAAUUUUUGGAAAAAUAUUCAAAUAAGUAGGGGUGUCCAUCAGUUGAAUCUAAUUUAAAUAUCUUACUCUUAAAUGGGGAUAUUUGAGAUUAGGGAUCUUUACUUUUAUUUUAAUAUUUUUUUAAUAUUCUAUCAUUAUCAUAUAUUAAUAUUUAUUUUAAUUUUUAAAAUAAAAUUUAAUUUAAUCUUUAAAAAUCUAUUAAAUUCUAAAUUCGGAACUUGAUUUAAAAUUUUCAAUUUGAAAAUUCUCUAAUUUGAAUUCUAUCUGAACUUAAAAAUUCACCAUUUGAAAUUUAAUAUUUUUGGGGAUAAUUUGAAUUAGACAGUUGGAUUAAAUUUGUUUUAAUAUCCUUAUAUAUAUCUUAUUUUUUAUUGGGAAAGAAAAAAUUAAUCCUAGCUUAUUUUCUUAGAAAAAAAAAUUUAAUUUAUUUUUUUAUCUAAUUAUUAAUAUGUAUUUUAUUUUUUUUCCCAUCGAAAAUGUUCAUCCGAUUGAAGGAGCGCGAGACGAGGAAGAGUUGAUAAGUACAUUGAAAUAUUUUUUUUUUUAAUUAGAAUGAUAUAGAGUAAUAGAAUAAUGGGUAGGAUAUAGGUACCUUAAAUUUUGUUGGGUAUGAAAAUGGAUAUGAAAGUUAAAUGCUUAAUGGAUACAUUACAUACGGGCAUUUCCAGAUAAACAGAAAGAAGCACACUUGACCUUCUCGACUUCUGGCCAGUCAAGAAGUUCCAUGGUGCUCUCCAGUGUUUUGAACCAAGCUUGAGCAUCCCAGGGCUUGCCUGAUAAAUUUUCUGGCUUCAACUUCAGCCACUCUAUUAGAUAUGCUUCUUGUCUUCUAGGUGCUAUGGGGAUUUUCAGGACGGCUGGUGGGACCUCAAUCACCAUUGGAGUCUCUACAUUGAUUGUUGGAGGAGUGGAAGGGUUUAGCUGCUGAUUCAUCAUUAAAUUGACGAUCACUUAUUGCUCUUGUUGCUGUUCUAUCACUUAUCUUUGGAGUUGAGCAACAAUUUCAGAGAAAUUUAAUUCAACUGU
This is a long non-coding RNA of Zingiber officinale, 1510 nucleotides long. RefSeq lists it as uncharacterized. The transcript has 3 exons. The record is from RefSeq and is a predicted model, not a curated record. NCBI's taxonomy places the organism in Eukaryota, Viridiplantae, Streptophyta, Magnoliopsida, Zingiberales, Zingiberaceae.